UGAGGAAUAUUGGUCAAUGGACGCAAGUCUGAACCAGCCAAGUAGCGUGCAGGAUGACGGCCCUUUGUGUUGUAAAUUGCUUUUAUAUGGGGAUAAAGUGGGGAACGUGUUCCCUUUUGCAGGUACCAUAUGAAUAAGGACCGGCUAAUUCCGUGCCAGCAGCCGCGGUAAUACGGAAGGUUCGGGCGUUAUCCGGAUUUAUUGGGUUUAAAGGGAGCGUAGGCCGUUUGGUAAGCGUGUUGUGAAAUGUAGGAGCUCAACUUCUAGAUUGCAGCGCGAACUGUCAGACUUGAGUGCGCACAACGUAGGCGGAAUUCAUGGUGUGGCGGUGAAAUGCUUAGAUAUCAUGAAGAACUACGAUUGCGAAGGCAGCUCACGGGAGCGCAACUGACGCUGCAGCUCGAAGGUGCGGGUAUCGAACAGG
Molecule: ribosomal RNA, 424 nt
Filed under: Verrucomicrobiota bacterium
Lineage: Bacteria; Pseudomonadati; Verrucomicrobiota
Description: Verrucomicrobia bacterium partial 16S ribosomal RNA
Rfam family: Bacterial small subunit ribosomal RNA
Source: RNAcentral